Acinonyx jubatus (cheetah) is the source of this 1302-nucleotide long non-coding RNA. RefSeq lists it as uncharacterized. The record is from RefSeq and is a predicted model, not a curated record. NCBI's taxonomy places the organism in Eukaryota, Metazoa, Chordata, Mammalia, Carnivora, Felidae. The transcript has 4 exons.
GACUCUUACUUUCAAAAAUAUUUUUUGUCUAGCAUGUGAGGCUGUUUGAUAGCAUUUUACCCACAGUAGAACUUCUUUCCAAAUUGGAGUCAGUCUUCUCAAACCCUACCACUGCUUUAUCACCUACAUGUAUAUAAUAUUCUGAAUCCUCUGUUGUCAUUUCAACAGUCUUCACAGCAUCUUCAGCAGGAGUACAUUCCAUCUCAAGAAACCACUUUCUUUGUUCAUCCAUAAGAAGCAACUUCUUAUCCACGUGAAUGUAGCACUGCUCCAUGAAAAUUUGGUCCUAGAGGUACAACCGGAAUUUAGCAAAUGCCACUGGAAGCAGUUACAUCAAUCCAAGUAGGAGAAAGGAGAGUAGCAGAUGCAGAAAAUGGUCUUCUGUUUGAUCUGCAGCAAGAAGAAAACACUGCUCCUCUACUACAUGAUGCACUUGGCUUCUAAACCCCAAGCUAACCAGACUGUCCUAUAUCCUCUAUCUGCUCCAUUCACCUGUAUAUCCCUUCUUGUGGAGCCAUGGAAAACCGUGGAGCAAGGCAAGGUGGGGAUUACCUCCAUCUUUUUCAAGACACACAUUAUUGUGAUAUCUUUAAGUACUGUUGACCUUCCAGCUAUAGAUAUCCCCACACGAAAAUUGUACAGUUUUGAUAUUCAAAAGUACCCCCAAAUCUCAGAAAAUACAUAAAAGGUGUAUUUUUGUUUGUUUUGUUUUUUUUCCUCCUCCAUGAUAAAGGAGGGAACUGAAAAGGGCAAUGUGGUAAAAUGUCUAAGUUUCCAGAAUGCUCUGUCAGAACAUAGCAACAUAUUCCACUCCACUGAGAUGGAAUUAAGGGUGUUGCAGCUCAACAAACACGGAGUUGAGGAAUGAAACAGUCUCCAUGACUCCAGACACACUCUAUUUCUAGUCUGUUACUCAUUUGCCAUCUUUUUCUAUUGGGAACUUGCAUAUUGCCUCUUGUGUCUUUCUGCGCUCACUGUGGCUCAGGCCAUCACUGUUGAUUUUCACAGGCUUGAGAGUAGGGAAUUAGUGCCUCAAAUGCUUACCUCCAGUAAUGAUAACAUUUCUUGAAUAUUUACUGUGUGUAGGCUGUUCAAAUUUUGUGUGUAUGUGUGUGAGCUUUUAAGUAUAACAGGCUUAUACAUAAGUAGAUGAAACAUGUACAGCUGUAGGAGUUGUUACAAAAUGAACAUACCCAGGUUAACCACUACCCUGACCAUGCUGCUUCUCUACCACUAAUACAUAGCUACUCUCCCCAUCCCCAAAUAUAACCUGUAUUCUGACUUCAAAUACCAUAUAUUAAC